This 84-nucleotide transfer RNA is filed under the name Spirochaetaceae bacterium. Its description in RNAcentral is "tRNA-Leu". It matches the Rfam family "tRNA". From Rfam's summary of the family: Transfer RNA (tRNA) molecules are approximately 80 nucleotides in length. Lineage: Bacteria; Pseudomonadati; Spirochaetota; Spirochaetia; Spirochaetales; Spirochaetaceae. RNAcentral also lists the same sequence under 1 other name. The record is from RNAcentral.
GCCGAAAUGGUGAAAUGGUAGACACAGGGGACUUAAAAUCCCCAGCUCGAUGAGAGCGUGCGGGUUCGAGUCCCGCUUUCGGCA